RNAcentral lists this ribosomal RNA (501 nucleotides) under uncultured Lachnospiraceae bacterium. Its description in RNAcentral is "partial 16S ribosomal RNA". Lineage: Bacteria; Bacillati; Bacillota; Clostridia; Lachnospirales; Lachnospiraceae. The record is from RNAcentral.
CACGUAGUUAGCCGGGGCUUCUUAGUCAGGUACCGUCUCUCUUCUUCCCUGCUGAUAGAGCUUUACAUACCGAAAUACUUCUUCACUCACGCGGCGUUGCUGCAUCAGGGUUUCCCCCAUUGUGCAAUAUUCCCCACUGCUGCCUCCCGUAGGAGUUUGGGCCGUGUCUCAGUCCCAAUGUGGCCGGCCACCCUCUCAGGUCGGCUACUGAUCGCUGCCUUGGUGGGCCGUUACCCCCGCAACUAGCUAAUCAGACGCGGAUCCAUCCCAUACCACCGGAGUUUUUCACACUGCGCCAUGCGGCUCCGUGCGCUUAUGCGGUAUUAGCAGUCAUUUCUAACUGUUAUCCCCCGGUAUGGGGCAGGUUAUCCACGCGUUACUCACCCGUCCGCCGCUAAAACACAAAGGCUUCCUUCCGAAAAAUUCCGCCUCUGCAUUCCCGCUCGACUUGCAUGUGUUAAGCACGCCGCCAGCGUUCAUCCUGAGCCAGGAUCAAACUCU